AAUUUAUAUUUUUUUUCCCCAAAAGAAGUCUUCAGUCCCCCUAAUAAUGUGAAAUUUUAUAAAAUUGAAUUAACAAAUUCUAUUUGUUGUGCAUCGCAACAUUAGUAAAAUUAAUGAUAUUAGAGUAUUUGUCCUUGGAGUACUAACGGAGUAAUGCUUAUGGUAUUAUUUUGUCAAAAAUUCAACCGCAUGCUUCUAAGUAUCAAAGAGCGAAACCUUA
This 220-nucleotide unclassified non-coding RNA is filed under the name Hevea brasiliensis (rubber tree). The record is from RNAcentral. Lineage: Eukaryota; Viridiplantae; Streptophyta; Magnoliopsida; Malpighiales; Euphorbiaceae.